RNAcentral lists this ribosomal RNA (149 nucleotides) under Vibrio parahaemolyticus. Its description in RNAcentral is "partial 16S ribosomal RNA". It matches the Rfam family "Bacterial small subunit ribosomal RNA", at positions 1 to 130 of the family's 1533-position model. Lineage: Bacteria; Pseudomonadati; Pseudomonadota; Gammaproteobacteria; Vibrionales; Vibrionaceae. The record is from RNAcentral.
UUAAAUUGAAGAGUUUGAUCAUGGCUCAGAUUGAACGCUGGCGGCAGGCCUAACACAUGCAAGUCGAGCGGAAACGAGUUAUCUGAACCUUCGGGGRACGAUAACGGCGUCGAGCGGCGGACGGGUGAGUAAUGCCUAGGAAAUUGCCC